Molecule: ribosomal RNA, 404 nt
Filed under: uncultured bacterium
Lineage: Bacteria
Description: bacterial SSU rRNA
Rfam family: Bacterial small subunit ribosomal RNA
Source: RNAcentral
GUAGGGAAUAUUGCAAAAUGGGCGAAAGCCCGAUGCAGCAACGCCGCGUGGGCGAUGAAGGCCUUCGGGUCGUAAAGCCCUUUUUGAGGGGAUGAGGAAGGACAGUACCCUCAGAAUAAGCCUCGGCUAACUACGUGCCAGCAGCCGCGGUAAAACGUAGGAGGCGAGCGUUAUCGGGAUUUACUGGGCGUAAAGCGCGUGCAGGCGGAUUGGAGAGUUGGAUGUGAAAGCUCCCGGCUUAACUGGGAGAGGUCGUUCAAUACUUCCAGUCUUGAGUGCAGUAGAGGGAAGUGGAAUUCCGGGUGUAGUGGUGAAAUGCGUAGAUAUCCGGAGGAACACCAGUGGCGAAAGCGGCUUCCUGGACUGUAACUGACGCUCAGACGCGAAAGCUAGGGUAGCAAACG